GACGAACGCUGGCGGCGUGCUUAACACAUGCAAGUCGAACGGAAUGGCCCUGCUUUUGUGGGGUGCUCGAGUGCCGAACGGGUGAGUAACACGUGAGUAACCUGCCCUUGACUUUGGGAUAACUUCAGGAAACUGGGGCUAAUACCGGAUAGGAGCUCCUGCUGCAUGGUGGGGGUUGGAAAGUUUCGGCGGUUGGGGAUGGACUCGCGGCUUAUCAGCUUGUUGGUGGGGUAGUGGCUUACCAAGGCUUUGACGGGUAGCCGGCCUGAGAGGGUGACCGGCCACAUUGGGACUGAGAUACGGCCCAGACUCGUACGGGAGGCAGCAGGGGGGAAUAUUGCACAAUGGGCGGAAGCCUGAUGCAGCAACGCCGCGUGCGGGAUGACGGCCUUCGGGUUGUAAACCGCUUUCGCCUGUGACGAAGCGGGAGUGACGGUAAUGGGUAAAGAAGCACCGGCUAACUACGUG
RNAcentral lists this ribosomal RNA (468 nucleotides) under uncultured bacterium. RNAcentral's name for it is "partial 16S ribosomal RNA". It matches the Rfam family "Bacterial small subunit ribosomal RNA", at positions 28 to 507 of the family's 1533-position model. The record is from RNAcentral.